This is a long non-coding RNA of Carassius gibelio (silver crucian carp), 1627 nucleotides long. RefSeq lists it as uncharacterized. The record is from RefSeq and is a predicted model, not a curated record. NCBI's taxonomy places the organism in Eukaryota, Metazoa, Chordata, Actinopteri, Cypriniformes, Cyprinidae. The transcript is spliced from 3 exons.
AGUUCAAGAGUCCCUAAUCAAGUUCACUGAUGAAAACAUGAAAAAAGUAGCUGCAGAGAUUUUUCUUGCUAUAAUGAAAUUUACGGGAGACAACCCAUAUGAAAGGCCAGACGGAGCAGGAGGUCAUCAGCACUAUCCUAAGAGUAUGCAGCUCUUCAAAAAGCACAACGAGAACUCCCAUCAUGAAUUAUUAAGAUAACCAGACAGGAAUGUGCUAAAUAUCUUCAUUGCCACUGCAGUAUGCAAUAUGAAUAAUCUCUGUUGCAGCUGUAAUAAGAGAUGAAGCGUACUGUCAUGUCCUCAAGCAGAUCAGUGGGAACACCAGCUCCAAGACAUAUGAGUCUGCUUCUUCUGAAUGAGAAAACCAUGGAGGGCUCAUUUUAAUGUCAUAAGAUGAUCUAGAGCUGUCAGAGGGGCUGCAGGCUCCUGUACAUCCUCACUGCAUACAAGUGUUUAGAGGCAACCUUACCUGCUGAAGGAGCUCCAAGACAUCUGUGCACUUUCAGGGUAUACUGCUGUGUUAAGUUACAGUUACACAGAUCAAACAGAUGAAUACUGACUGAUGAUUACACAAACAUGUUGACUCUAUGAUAUUUAUUGCAACUUGAUCAACAAUGUAAUUCAUUCAGUAGGAGCAAUGUGAUUUUAAUUCACUUUUGUUACUUUGGAGGUGGCUUUGGAUGCCAUUGAAGAGCUGUGCUAUAAGAUGGGUCUGCAUAAACUUUGAGCCUUUGAUGAAUAUGCUAUAUAUGUGGUCACAAACAGAGGUGUUCGCUGACUACUUGAAUGUCCCACGGGGAAAAACCAGUGAGCUGCAGCUUCAGCAAGUGUCAAAACUGGCAGCUCUUUAACAUCAUGCCAAGGACUUGAUCUACUUGCCCACCUUGUAAUGCAAUUAAUCUGACUGACACCAUACUGAAUUUACCAAGCAGAUAAAGAACUGACUUGUUAUGUAUCAAUGAAAAGCUUAAAAGAUGUCACAUUUACUCCACUUUACAAUUACAAAUUACAAUUGCACUUCGUACAGUAUGUGUGAAUAGAUUACUAUGUAUUUUAGUCCUUAUACAUAUUUAAAUGAUUAUUAUAACAUACCUUUCAAAGGUUUGGGGUCUGUAAGACUUUUUAUUUAAUACUUUUAUUCAUUAAGGAAGCAUUAAAUUGAGCAAUUGAAAGUAAAGACAUUUAUAAUGUUACAAAAGAUUUAAAUGUUUCAAAUAAAUACUAUUCUUUUGAACUUUUUGUUUAUAAGACAAUUCUGAAAAAUGUGGUAUCCUCAGAAAUACUAAUAUUCAGCAGAACAACUGUUUUCAACACUGAUUAUAAGAAGAAAUGUUUAAGCAGCAGAUCAGCACAUCAGAAUGAUUUCUGAAGGAUCAUGUGACACUGAAGACUGAAAAUUCAGCUUCGCAACACAGGACUGAAUUACAGUUUAACAUAAUAUUAAAACAGAAGGCAGUCAUUUUAAAUUUUAUAUUACAAUAUAACAUUAUUAAUGUAUUUUCAAUCAAAUAAAUGCAGUCUUGAGUAUAAGAGACUUCUUUUCAAAAACGUUAAAAGAUUUUCCCAACCAUAGACUUUGAACAGUAGAAUGUGAUAUACAUUAAGCUUGCCAUUAUUCUGCUCUCCU